This 437-nucleotide ribosomal RNA is filed under the name uncultured Oscillospiraceae bacterium. RNAcentral describes it as "bacterial SSU rRNA". It matches the Rfam family "Bacterial small subunit ribosomal RNA", at positions 341 to 792 of the family's 1533-position model. Lineage: Bacteria; Bacillati; Bacillota; Clostridia; Eubacteriales; Oscillospiraceae. The record is from RNAcentral.
ACGGGAGGCAGCAGUGGGGAAUAUUGGGCAAUGGGCGAAAGCCUGACCCAGCAACGCCGCGUGAAGGAAGAAGGUCUUCGGAUUGUAAACUUCUUUUAUGAGGGACGAAGGAAGUGACGGUACCUCAUGAAUAAGCCCCGGCUAACUACGUGCCAGCAGCCGCGGUAAUACGUAGGGGGCGAGCGUUAUCCGGAUUUACUGGGUGUAAAGGGCGCGUAGGCGGGUCGGCAAGUCAGGUGUGAAAUCUAUGGGCUCAACCCAUAAACUGCAUUUGAAACUGUCGAUCUUGAGUACUGGAGAGGUAGACGGAAUUCCUUGUGUAGCGGUGAAAUGCGUAGAUAUAAGGAAGAACACCAGUGGCGAAGGCGGUCUACUGGACAGUAACUGACGCUGAGGCGCGAAAGCGUGGGGAGCAAACAGGAUUAGAUACCCUGGUA